Molecule: transfer RNA, 73 nt
Filed under: Schistosoma mansoni
Lineage: Eukaryota; Metazoa; Platyhelminthes; Trematoda; Strigeidida; Schistosomatidae
Source: RNAcentral
GUGUUCUUUGGCCGAGUGGAUAACGUGAUGACGUUUGAAGCGAAAGGUACUGGGUUCGAGUCCCAGAGUGGAC